CCUACGGGUGGCAGCAGUGAGGAAUAUUGGUCAAUGGACGCGAGUCUGAACCAGCCAAGCAGCGUGAAGGAAGACUGCUCUAUGGGUUGUAAACUUCUUUUAUACAGGAAUAAAACGAGGCACGUGUGCCUUUUUGCAUGUACUUUAUGAAUAAGGAUCGGCUAACUCCGUGCCAGCAGCCGCGGUAAUACGGAGGAUCCGAGCGUUAUCCGGAUUUAUUGGGUUUAAAGGGAGCGUAGAUGGGUUGUUAAGUUAGAUGUGAAAGUUUGCGGCUCAACCGUAAAAUUGCAUUUGAUACUGGCAGUCUUGAGUACAGUUGAGGUAGGCGGAAUUCAUGGUGUAGCGGUGAAAUGCUUAGAGAUCACAAAGAACCCCGAUUGCGAAGGCAGCUUACUAAGCUAUGACUGACGUUGAGGCUCGAAAGUGUGGGGAUCAAACAGGAUUAGAUACCCGUGUAGUC
RNAcentral lists this ribosomal RNA (460 nucleotides) under uncultured bacterium. Its description in RNAcentral is "partial 16S ribosomal RNA". It matches the Rfam family "Bacterial small subunit ribosomal RNA", at positions 338 to 795 of the family's 1533-position model. The record is from RNAcentral.